Mauremys mutica (yellowpond turtle) is the source of this 569-nucleotide non-coding RNA. The record is from the annotation of a RefSeq genome assembly. Lineage: Eukaryota; Metazoa; Chordata; Testudines; Geoemydidae.
CUUCCCAUCCCGCCUGGGGACCGAGCCGCCAGCCGCAGACAUGACCCCCAGCCUGGCCAUCGCCUUCCUCCUGCUGCUCCCCGCGGGUGUCUAUUCCCAGGUCAGCCUGGUGGAGUCCGGAGCGGGAGUCAGGAAGCCCGGGGAGACCCUCAGACUGACCUGCACCGUGUCCGGAUUCUCUCUCACUAGCAGCGCGGUGCACUGGGUCCGCCAGCCAGCGGGGAAGGGGCUGGACUGGCUGGGAAUUAUCUGGGGUGAUGGGGGCACUGCUUAUAGCAAUGCUCUCAAAAAUCGCCUCAGCAUCACCAAAGACAACUCCAAGAGCCAAGUGUUCCUGCAACUGACCGGCCUGCAGCCCGCAGACACCUCCGUGUAUUACUGUGCCAGAGACACAGUGAGAGGAAACCUAUCCGAGCCCGGCCUAAAACUAACCGUGCAGAGAACCAGCCUUCCCGUGUGACGCGCCGAGAGCAGCAGCUGCCAGCACCGCGGUCUCUCUGCUUGGUUCGUUUUUUGCUUCAUGCAGAUUCCUCAGCAAGUUACAAGCGCUUGGGAGUUAAACUCCGUAU